Molecule: small RNA, 168 nt
Filed under: Pongo abelii (Sumatran orangutan)
Lineage: Eukaryota; Metazoa; Chordata; Mammalia; Primates; Hominidae
Description: processed transcript
Source: RNAcentral
GUUUUCCCCCUGCAGUCUCACACCAUUUUGCUGGUACAGCCUACCAAGAGGCCAGAAGGCAGAACUUAUGCUGACUAUGAAUCUGUGAAUGAAUGCAUGGAAGUUACCGAGCUGAUACCCAGACAUACCAGCCUUAUAACAAAGACUGGAUUAAAGAGAAGAUCUACG